CCUACGGGAGGCAGCAGUGAGGAAUAUUGGUCAAUGGUCGGGAGACUGAACCAGCCAAGCCGCGUGAGGGAGGAAGGUACAGAGUAUCGUAAACCUCUUUUGUCAGGGCACAAAGACUGGGACGCGUCCCCGGAUGAGUGUACCUGAAGAAAAAGCAUCGGCUAACUCCGUGCCAGCAGCCGCGGUAAUACGGCAGGUCCGGGCGUUAUCCGGCUUUCUUGGGUUUAAAGGGAGCGUAGGCCGCAUUUAAAGAGUGCUGUGAAAUGUCCGGGCUCAACCCGGGCCUUGCAGCGCGAACUGGCGUGCUUGAGUCCGCGGAAAGCAGGCGGAAUUCGUCGUGUAGCGGUGAAAUGCUUAGAUAUGACGAAGAACCCCGAUUGCGAAGGCAGCUUGCUGCAGCGGAACUGACGCUGAUGCUCGAAAGCGCGGGUAUCGAACAGGAUUAGAUACCCCAGUAGUC
This 460-nucleotide ribosomal RNA is filed under the name uncultured bacterium. RNAcentral's name for it is "partial 16S ribosomal RNA". It matches the Rfam family "Bacterial small subunit ribosomal RNA", at positions 338 to 795 of the family's 1533-position model. The record is from RNAcentral.